Bactrocera oleae (olive fruit fly) is the source of this 2597-nucleotide long non-coding RNA. RefSeq lists it as uncharacterized. Lineage: Eukaryota; Metazoa; Arthropoda; Insecta; Diptera; Tephritidae. The record is from RefSeq and is a predicted model, not a curated record.
GUGCAUUUCUAAAAAUCUACAAUUUUUAUGCAGACUUUUUACGCCUCGAAACGUCAGUUGUUCUUGAAACUUCAGCCUAGCCGGAUCACUGGCGCUCCUCGCGCUCCAACGUACUCGCUAUUCAUGCCGGGCAAUGUAAAUAUUUAUAAAAGCCAGCGAACUGCCUCAUGAUGAAGCAAAAAAUAAAAAAUAAAAAAAAGACCGAACAAAAAACUCUACAACAACAACAACGCGACCACAUUUUUUACAUAAACAGCAAAGCAAAAACCACAUAGUUGUUGUUGCUAUGCAUUGUUGAAAGGUCAGGUGCUGAUAAGUCGUGAACACUGAAAAUAACAAGACGAGAAACAACAACAACAACACCAGUAGCAGUGCCGACAAGCUAGCAAUUCAACAGCGAUCGCGUCAAAUGUAUGAAUGUUUACAACAACAAUAGCGUCAACAGCAGUGCCAUACAAAUAGCGAGCGCUAGCGCUACUUUUGCAUUCAUUCAACCGUUGAAUUCGUAAACACACAUACGUGCGCUCAUACAUACUUGUACAUAUGUGCGCUACGCCGCGAUCAGUUAAAUGGGUAGCAGUGCGGUGUGGCGCGCUGUCCAGCGUCGUCAAGGGGCAAAGCCAAUCGCAGCGGCAAGGCAGAUACAGGCGCGUGACGCGUUGUGGUGUGGCAAGGCUUGGAGAUUUGUUUGGGUAAACACGUACGCUGACGGGACGCGGCGUCGCUGUUUCGGUGAACAUCUUUAAAUUUGAGGUAGAGUUCCAUGUUAAGGAUAAAGUUAUGAAGAACCCCCGUAGCAACAUCUUUUAUUCUAUGUCAAAUUCACUCUCAAAAGUCAUAGAAAACUAUUGUCAGUGUAAGUGCAGAUCCUGCGACCUCUGCAGCUUAUAUAGAUACAUACUCUUUAUUCGAACAGAGAUAUUAAAAUAUAAUUACCUUUUACGUUUACCUUAUUUUUAUUUAGUAGAAACCAGGAUUGCAAAUAUUGCUUUAAAACAAUUAUUAAACUAACAGUUUAAAAUUUUUUUUUUUGUAAUCCCAAACUAAAGUUUUUUUUUGUAAAACCCAAUGUCCCAAAUACGGAGUUAGAAUAUUUUUAUUUAUUUUGUAAUUCCAAAUAUGGGAAACGCGAAAGUUUUUCUAAAUUCAAUACUACCGUACUUCACAAGAACUACAACUUUUAUUAUUUAAUAUCUAUGAAAUCACCAAAAUGGUAUCCUUUAGAUCCACUGAUACAAAGCCCAUAAUUUGGGUAUAGCGCUCAGAUUACUAUUGUUUGCGGUAGAAGUGGUAUUCAUUCAAGUCUUUGAAAACUCAGUAAGGUUGUUUUUAUAUUUUGCAAAACUACGUUUUUUGUGACAUAAAAUAUUUUAAGCUUAACUACUAAUUUCAACCGUUGAUGCUACAAUCGCGUUUGUUUUAAUAAAUAUUUUGCAUGAAUUAAAACGAAAAGCAGUUGUUUAAACUUAGCGCUUCACACUCGUAAAGCGUCGAGCUAAAAGCUUUUGGGUUCGUUUGAUCUCUACUUGAAUAUUAAAUAUUUCACAAUGUUAUAAAAUCAUAACAAAAGAAAAAAUAAAAUAUUUAUUAAAAAAAUAUAUGCCGUACACGAUUCAUACGCUAAAAGUUGCUAAUCAUUCUAUUUGGCGUGUUAGGCACACGCUAAGCCGAGCGUGUAGUCAGCUCGAAACAUACAAAAGCUGGUCAUAACAGAAUUGCUCUCAUACAUAAAGUUAUGUUUAGUAACAAUAAGAAAAUACCUUUCGAAAAAAUAUCCUCAUACUUUAUUAAUAUUUUAUGCAAGAGGUCCUUUAAUAUUGUAUAUUUUCAUGUAACGCCUGGCGUACGACCUAGUUCAAGCUAAGCUUCCUUGUUUUUUAUUGAACAUAAUAUAAAUUCUAGUGAAAAUUAUAUUUUUGUUAAUAAAAAUAAAUGCGUAUUCUUUUCGGCGUUACUUAUUUUCUUAAUCGGUUUUCUGUUAUUAAAUUACCGUUAACUUGACCGCUACUAUCUCUUUAGAAAGGGGAGUAGGAAUAUGCUGUUUCUUCCGAGAAUAGUCUAUAGAUUAUAUAUGGUAACAAAGUUGCUGUACAUUUUCAAAAUAUCCUGCUUAUGCUAUAAGCACCGCAAAAGUAAUAAAAAAUAUUUAGAAAUAUUUUUGAAAUACUUAAAAUUAAAAAAUAAAUUGUAAAAGGUCUACAGCUUAGUAGUUCGUAGACCUUGAGUUACCUUAGUACUACAAAUACAAAAAUGAAUUGUAAAUUGUUGGUUACUUGCUGAUGAGUUCUGUAUGAAGUAGAACGCUCUAAACAUAUCUUUAGGCUAAAAGCAUAGUGGAAAAUAGAGCAGUGUUGCAGAGAGAUUAAAAUAGUAAAAGAUUUCAUAUAUCUGCAUAUUCAUUGAGUUCCCGCUGCUUAGCCUUUGCAAAAGUAUUUUUUUUAUUAUAGCUCAAAAUUCAAUUUUUGAAAUAUGAAAAUAUAUAUAUAUAUAUAUUAAUAUAGUAUUAAGCCCUUAAUAUCUUCUUACAAAAAUGUACAAAGUAUAAAAACAUAAGUUGAAAUGAAUAAAUACAUUUUUUUAAGCUGAAUAAAAAAUUU